UGCGUUUAGUCCAAAACGGUCGCUAUGCUUCAGGGAGUUGAAAAUAAGCAUAGAUUCGGAGAUUCUCGAAUAGGGCAACCUUUCGAACUGUUGCUGAAUCCAUGGGCAGGCAAGAGACAACCUGGCGAACUGAAACAUCUUAGUAGCCAGAGGAAAAGAAAGCAAAAGCGAUUCCCGUAGUAGCGACGAGCGAAAUGGGAGCAGCCUAAACCGUGAAAAUGGGGUUGUGGGAGAGCAAUACAAGCGUCGUACUGGCCCAUCAGAUCUAAACAAUCUUGUUUUUUUGAACAUGAAGAGAUAAAGAAGCCAUUGCAAUUGCCGAAAAUACAAGGCCUACUAAAGGCA
This 345-nucleotide ribosomal RNA is filed under the name Olea europaea subsp. europaea. Its description in RNAcentral is "Bacterial large subunit ribosomal RNA". It matches the Rfam family "Bacterial large subunit ribosomal RNA", at positions 37 to 383 of the family's 2925-position model. The record is from Rfam by way of RNAcentral. Lineage: Eukaryota; Viridiplantae; Streptophyta; Magnoliopsida; Lamiales; Oleaceae.